RNAcentral lists this non-coding RNA (27 nucleotides) under Mus musculus (house mouse). The record is from RNAcentral. Lineage: Eukaryota; Metazoa; Chordata; Mammalia; Rodentia; Muridae.
UAUUUGGAACUUAAUUCUCUUGGUAUU